Hippopotamus amphibius kiboko is the source of this 107-nucleotide small nuclear RNA. The record is from RefSeq and is a predicted model, not a curated record. Lineage: Eukaryota; Metazoa; Chordata; Mammalia; Artiodactyla; Hippopotamidae.
GUGCUCCCUUCGGCGGCACAUAUACUAAAAUUGGAAUGAUACAGAGAAGGUUAGUGUGGCCCCUGUGCACGGAUGACACACAAAUUCAUGAAGCAUUCCAUAUUUUU